UGGAUAUUUUAUUGUACUUAAACUAGUACUAUGCUUAAUGAUAGUCUUUUGUGCUUUGUAGAUCAUCUGGCAAAGAGAUUUGCAGAGUGUCGGGUGACCGGCAAAGAGAUCUGCAAAGUGUCAGGUGAAGACGACGGGAGGGGUCGCGGAGGAAUUAGUGACUGGAGAAUAGCAUGCAGGAGUGGGUGAUCCCUGAAUAGCUGCCCUGGGAGGAGAGCUGCGGACACAUGCUCCAAAUGUUGGGACAUAUGCAUUACCUAUUAGGAGAUGCGGUAAAGAUGCCGGCUGUCAGGUAUACGGCAGUCAGAAUACUGACACUUGGAUCCCGACACUUCAGAAUCCCGACGUUGGAACUCGGAAUGGGCAAGGA
Long non-coding RNA from Pseudophryne corroboree (corroboree frog), 370 nucleotides. RefSeq lists it as uncharacterized. The transcript has 2 exons. The record is from RefSeq and is a predicted model, not a curated record. Lineage: Eukaryota; Metazoa; Chordata; Amphibia; Anura; Myobatrachidae.